This 465-nucleotide ribosomal RNA is filed under the name uncultured bacterium. Its description in RNAcentral is "partial 16S ribosomal RNA". It matches the Rfam family "Bacterial small subunit ribosomal RNA", at positions 28 to 507 of the family's 1533-position model. The record is from RNAcentral.
GACGAACGCUGGCGGCGUGCUUAACACAUGCAAGUCGAACGGAAAGGCCCUGCUUGCAGGGUACUCGAGUGGCGAACGGGUGAGUAACACGUGGGUGAUCUGCCCUGCACUUCGGGAUAAGCCUGGGAAACUGGGUCUAAUACCGGAUAGGAGCCAUUUUUAGUGUGAUGGUUGGAAAGUUUUUUCGGUGUAGGAUGAGCUCGCGGCCUAUCAGCUUGUUGGUGGGGUAAUGGCCUUCCAAGGCGGCGACGGGUAGCCGGCCUGAGAGGGUGGACGGCCACAUUGGGACUGAGAUACGGCGCAGACUCCUACGGGAGGCAGCAGUGGGGAAUAUUGCACAAUGGGCGCAAGCCUGAUGCAGCGACGCCGCGUGGGUGAUGACGUCCUUCGGGUUGUAAACUCCUUUCGCUAGGGACGAAGCUUUUUGUGACGGUACCUAGAUAAGAAGCACCGGCUAACUACGUG